GUUAGUAAAUCUUAGUAUCUGAUUUAUUUUUUAUAUUUUUAAUUUUUAUUUUUUGACUUAAAUUAUUUUCUUCAAAAUUUUAUUUUCUUUUUGUAAAAUCAAAGAUUUCAAGUCAAAAUCCUACCUUCUCCAUAGAUUCGACCUAACUCACUACUUUCUAUAUAUUUUUAAUUUUUAUUGAAGUCAAAAUUUGAUUGAUAAU
Molecule: long non-coding RNA, 202 nt
Filed under: Elaeis guineensis (African oil palm)
Lineage: Eukaryota; Viridiplantae; Streptophyta; Magnoliopsida; Arecales; Arecaceae
Description: long non-coding RNA (EGUI_LNC060728)
Source: RNAcentral